Molecule: ribosomal RNA, 423 nt
Filed under: uncultured bacterium
Lineage: Bacteria
Description: partial 16S ribosomal RNA
Rfam family: Bacterial small subunit ribosomal RNA
Source: RNAcentral
AAUUUUGGACAAUGGGGGAAACCCUGAUCCAGCCAUCCCGCGUGUAUGAUGAAGGCCUUCGGGUUGUAAAGUACUUUUGGCAGAGAAGAAAAGGUACCUCCUAAUACGAGGUACUGCUGACGGUAUCUGCAGAAUAAGCACCGGCUAACUACGUGCCAGGAGACGCGGUAAUCGGUAGGGUGCAAGCGUUAAUCGGAAUUACUGGGCGUAAAGCGUGUGUAGGCGGUUCGGAAAGAAAGAUGUGGAGUCCCAGAGCUCAACCUUGGAACUGCAUUUUUAACUGCCGAGCUAGAGUAUGUGAGAAGGGGGUAGAAUUCCACGUGUAGCAGUGAAAUGCGUAGAUAUGUGGAGGAAUACCGAUGGCGAAGGCAGCCCCCUGGGAUGAUACUGACGCUCAGACACGAAAGCGUGGGGAGCAAACAG